AGUAUCUACAUUAAGUUAGCAGGUGAGAGAAUAUAAAGAAACAGUAACUGGAUGGAGUUCACUAGGUUAGGGGAGUGCCUACUUUCAGUUAGCAGGUGAGAGAAUAUAAAGAAACAGUAACUGGAUGGAGUUCACUAGGUUAGGGGAGUGUCUACAUUAAGUUAGCAGGUGAGAGAAUAUAAA
Limulus polyphemus (Atlantic horseshoe crab) is the source of this 183-nucleotide long non-coding RNA. RefSeq lists it as uncharacterized. The record is from RefSeq and is a predicted model, not a curated record. Lineage: Eukaryota; Metazoa; Arthropoda; Merostomata; Xiphosura; Limulidae. The transcript is spliced from 2 exons.